This 161-nucleotide small nucleolar RNA is filed under the name Plasmodium cynomolgi strain B. Its description in RNAcentral is "small nucleolar RNA snoR26". It matches the Rfam family "small nucleolar RNA snoR26". The record is from Rfam by way of RNAcentral. Lineage: Eukaryota; Apicomplexa; Aconoidasida; Haemosporida; Plasmodiidae.
CAUGCCUCAAAUAAAUGAAAACGUUCAUAAUAGCAAAAGUUAUGAGAGAUGCUUUAUUCGAGGCUAAAUUGAGAAAAAAAAAAAAGAAAUGCCACUGAUAAAACGAGUUACGCAUUUGCUGCAAGUUGCUGACUCACCUGACUUUGGUACAUUCCGAAGGA